Long non-coding RNA from Arvicanthis niloticus (Nile rat), 525 nucleotides. RefSeq lists it as uncharacterized. The record is from RefSeq and is a predicted model, not a curated record. Lineage: Eukaryota; Metazoa; Chordata; Mammalia; Rodentia; Muridae.
GACACUCUGCAGCCUGCAGGACACUUGCCAGGAGCUGGGGCAGAGCCCUCCUCCCAAAAGAACCAACGUCUACGCCCGCCCACUCAGGUGGCUCGGAACGAUCUGCAUUCCAUUUAACCCAGUGAACCCAUGCAAAAUGCUAAGUUGCAUUUCCAGUACCAUCUGGAGAUUUCCCUUCCGCCUCACCCGGCCUCUCACCCACACGUGCAUUUCUUGGGUCAUCUGUUUACAUGGGGCGAAAAGAAGAAAGGACGCUACCAACAGCAAACAAAUUGUCUGCUUGAUCCACAUAAACUGUGUAGAACUCAGAGUACCUGGAGAACUCUUGUAAGCCUCCAAGUUCCUUCAGGACAUGGCUACUAUAUUCAUUUGUGUCUGUGCCAAAAGGGAAAAAAAAAAACAAAAACAAAGAACAACCCUCAAGACGAACACAGGAGGAAAUUUGUGCAGCCACUGCUCAGCACCAUGUGCAGGACUCAGGCUGAGAGGAGCCAUCUGAGCCACCACCACAGACAGAGGAGUAAG